UGGGGGAUAUUGCACAAUGGGCGAAAGCCUGAUGCAGCGACGCCGCGUGGGGGAUGAAGGCCUUCGGGUUGUAAACUUCUUUUGCUCUGAACAAGGCGCACCAUGGGGUGUGUUGAGUGUAGGGGUUGAUUAGCGCCGGCUAACUACGUGCCAGCAGCCGCGGUAAUACGUAGGGCGCGAGCGUUGUCCGGAAUUAUUGGGCGUAAAGGGCUUGUAGGUGGCUGGUUGCGUCUGUCGUGAAAGCUCAUGGCUUAACUGUGGGUUUGCGGUGGGUACGGGCUGGCUUGAGUGCAGUAGGGGAGGCUGGAAUUCCUGGUGUAGCGGUGGAAUGCACAGAUAUCAGGAGGAAUACCGGUGGCGAAGGCGGGUCUCUGGGCUGUUACUGACACUGAGGAGCGAAAGCAUGGGGAGCGAACAGG
This 419-nucleotide ribosomal RNA is filed under the name bacterium. Its description in RNAcentral is "partial 16S ribosomal RNA". It matches the Rfam family "Bacterial small subunit ribosomal RNA", at positions 355 to 776 of the family's 1533-position model. The record is from RNAcentral.